AGGUUACAAAAUAUCAAGAUAAAAUACAUACUUACAAUGUAAAUAAUAGAACCUAAAAGUCAUUUAAAUGCACAUCAUGAAAUACUAAGCAGAUCUAAAACAAUGGAAAUUUCAAAUAUGGGGAUUACAAAGUUCUGUAUUUGAUGUCAAAAUGUCAGGUGGGUUUUUCUAAGAAAAGCAUAAUUCUAAAGUUGGAGUGCCACCACUGAUACAACUCAGUCUCUGAUAUCCAUGUUUCAGAUAGUUAAGGAACCCAAGGGAGGGCUUGUGUGGAAGUGAAUAGGCUUAUAUGGAAAUAAGCAUUCCACCCUAAAAAUACUCUAUUGUCUGAUUUUAGUAGCUGAAUUGUCCAAGCCUAGUUAAUAGCUGGGGACAACCACAGAAAGCAAGGAAUUCCAGGCAGGUGAAUGAUUUUUUAAAAUCUAACGACCUAGAGAGUUGAUUGCAUGGGGGUUAAUGGACCAAAGAUACGACUGAGUUUAAGGGGCUCACAGUAUUCUCAAAUAUGGGCUUUACUUUGAAAUAACAUACUAGUAUUAUACUUCAAUUUGUAUAUGAUCAAUUUAUAGGACUGGAGGUGGAGACACAGACAGAAUUUAGUUAAAAACAAAUCACAUUAUUCAACAUAGAUCAUCCAAGGUUUUCAAAGAUCUGCUGGUGAAAAAUCAUUGCAUGUGUGCACCAGACCCUGGAAGAAGACAGAAGUAAUCUCCCUUGGGAGCACUAGAAAAAAAAUUACAAAUGCCUUUCUGAAGUGUUCAGCUUCUCAUCCUUCUCACAUGCUUUUGAACCUAAAUCCUUUCCUCUCUGCAGAGAAGAAUAUAAAAGCCGAGCACUGGGGCCUGCUUAUUUAAUGAGGAUUUGUGUCAUAUCAAGGAGACUCAAAGUGGAUUCUUCCAGAAGUGGAUUCCACAGCCUGAGAGCAGCCACAGAGAAGUUUCUCCAUACCUCACAACCUCUGAGGAUGCCUGCCAUAGAUGUGGGCGAAACGUCAGGAGAGAAUACUUCUAGAACAUGGCCAUACAGCCCGGAAAACAUACAACAACCCCACUCUCUUCUGUGUUUUUAACAAACAUGUCUAUGAAGCAGGCAUAGGCAAACCGGCCCUCCAGGUGUUUUGGACUUCAACUCCCAGAAAUCCCAGCCAAUUUACCAGCUGUUAGGAAUUGUGGGAGUUGAAGUCUUGAACACUUGGAGGGCCUAUGCUUGCUAUGAAGGUUGUGGAACAGAAAGACAGCUCAUCACUACUGAUCUUAACUCUCAUGCUGGCUUGUAUAGCAAGAUACAGUCCUUCAGAUAGCCUGAACCCAAGCUGUAUAGGCCUUUAAAAGACAAAACCAGAACUCUGCAUUGUGAAUGAAAAUUUUCAAGUCCAGACAUAGAAGAGAAGACUGUAUUGAUAAGGCAAUUUUUGGGUUUUUGGAUGUUGCUUAAACUGUAAUUCCCAUCAACACAAACCAGCAUAUCCCACAAUGAGAGAUUAUGGAAGUUGUGACCCUCCAGAUACUACCAAACCACAAGAUACCCAUCUGCACAUAAAGGGAAUAUGAACCUUGCAAGUUAAAGCAAAAUGACAGCUUACUCGAAGUAACUACAUAUAUUUUUCUUGAACAUUUAAGGGAUGCUUGUGGGACUUUCUGCCUAAGAUUUCAGUAUAUUAUUUCUAACUUUGUUGCAACUUUGGAGCAGUCGUUGUACUGCAUCAGGAAAUAAAGUUCCACAGGAUGGGCCUACCUACCCUUAACCUGCAUUUGAUGAACUGGUCAUGUAAAAGUUGGGAAAUACCACUCUUUCCAAACACUUAUUCUCAACAACAACACAUAAAGACCUUGACUUCUUUGUUCAAUCCAAACGUGUGUUUUGCUGUAACUGCUUACAUAUUGAAAAGGGGGAUCUACCAUUUUUAAGGCCUUGUCAGGGUUUCAUUUCUGUGCUUUAAUAUUUCUAAUGUUUACACUUAUAAAUUGUUUAAUUGUUUUAGAUAUAUACACACACACACACACUUUUGUUCUGACCUUCACAUUGUAUUGUUUUAAAUAUAUUGUUAAAUACAUUUAACAUUAAAUAUGCGGAGCUGUA
Molecule: long non-coding RNA, 2079 nt
Organism: Anolis carolinensis (green anole)
Lineage: Eukaryota; Metazoa; Chordata; Lepidosauria; Squamata; Anolidae
Exons: 2
Source: RefSeq, a predicted model, not a curated record